AGCAAGCAACAGCCAGGUCUAUUUUAAGCCACAUGGCUAAGAGGAACACUGGCUGAAGCCGUGUGUUAGAGAUGUGAUUCCCUAAGUCAAAAAGAUAGGAUCAGAGAUGACCAUGACAGAAAAGGGAACACUCUGAAGUCACUCUCCCAACAAGAAACAAAGAGAAUAAAAACCAACCUGAUAAACAGGAAAAGCAAAAAGGCUGGAAUACCACUCUCUGACUUUGGGAUUGGUGAAAUCCAGAGUUCCACAGGCAGCUGAGGCCACUCAUGAGAGGCUGAAAGUCAAAACUAUGGGCUAAAAGGACCAAGAGCAACCACAAGGGAGAGCCUGCCUGCCAGACACUUCAUCUCUGCAUCCCGCCCUCUCCUGAGACACUUUCCUCACUCCCUACUUCUUAUCUCUGUUUGCUUAGAGAGUUAACAUGCCAUGGAGACUAGUC
Molecule: long non-coding RNA, 442 nt
Organism: Peromyscus leucopus (white-footed mouse)
Lineage: Eukaryota; Metazoa; Chordata; Mammalia; Rodentia; Cricetidae
Exons: 3
Source: RefSeq, a predicted model, not a curated record